GUGACUGUCCUGGAACUUGAAAUCCCCAUUAUUCAUAGAACAGAUACAGGAUGGACAGCAGAAGUGCAGGCUUCCCUCACACGGCCCCAACCCUGCCCUGGAAGUGAGGCCCAGCUGCUGGGAAAAGAGGAUUGUCCACUGUAGUUUUCAUGCCCAUAAAAUUUUUGGCCUUU
Molecule: small RNA, 173 nt
Filed under: Chrysemys picta bellii (western painted turtle)
Lineage: Eukaryota; Metazoa; Chordata; Testudines; Emydidae
Description: TUC338 (ENSCPBG00000028237.1)
Source: RNAcentral